UGGGCAAUCGCCAAACGGUAAGGCAGCGGACUCUGAAUCCGCAAUUUGUAGGUUCGAACCCUACUUGCCCAAUCA
Molecule: transfer RNA, 75 nt
Filed under: Companilactobacillus allii
Lineage: Bacteria; Bacillati; Bacillota; Bacilli; Lactobacillales; Lactobacillaceae
Description: Lactobacillus allii tRNA-Gln
Rfam family: tRNA
About the family: Transfer RNA (tRNA) molecules are approximately 80 nucleotides in length. Their secondary structure includes four short double-helical elements and three loops (D, anti-codon, and T loops). Further hydrogen bonds mediate the characteristic L-shaped molecular structure. tRNAs have two regions of fundamental functional importance: the anti-codon, which is responsible for specific mRNA codon recognition, and the 3' end, to which the tRNAs corresponding amino acid is attached (by aminoacyl-tRNA synthetases). tRNAs cope with the degeneracy of the genetic code in two manners: having more than one tRNA (with a specific anti-codon) for a particular amino acid; and 'wobble' base-pairing, i.e. permitting non-standard base-pairing at the 3rd anti-codon position.
Source: RNAcentral